GCAUUCUUAGCUCAGUUGGAUAGAGCAACAACCUUCUAAGUUGAGGGUCACAGGUUCAAAUCCUGUUGGAUGCGU
Molecule: transfer RNA, 75 nt
Filed under: Diplophyllum taxifolium
Lineage: Eukaryota; Viridiplantae; Streptophyta; Jungermanniopsida; Jungermanniales; Scapaniaceae
Description: tRNA-Arg
Rfam family: tRNA
About the family: Transfer RNA (tRNA) molecules are approximately 80 nucleotides in length. Their secondary structure includes four short double-helical elements and three loops (D, anti-codon, and T loops). Further hydrogen bonds mediate the characteristic L-shaped molecular structure. tRNAs have two regions of fundamental functional importance: the anti-codon, which is responsible for specific mRNA codon recognition, and the 3' end, to which the tRNAs corresponding amino acid is attached (by aminoacyl-tRNA synthetases). tRNAs cope with the degeneracy of the genetic code in two manners: having more than one tRNA (with a specific anti-codon) for a particular amino acid; and 'wobble' base-pairing, i.e. permitting non-standard base-pairing at the 3rd anti-codon position.
Source: RNAcentral